GUCCUUGCCGUAAACGAUGCAUACUAGAUGUAGUUGGAAUCAACCCCGACUGUGUCGUAGCUAACGCGUUAAGUAUGCCGCCUGGGGAGUACACUCGCAAGGGUGAAACUCAAAAGAAUUGACGGGGACCCGCACAAGCAGUGGAGCAUGUGGUUUAAUUCGAUGCUACGCGAAGAACCUUACCCAGACUUGACAUGUAGGAGACCGGUCCAGAGAUGGAUUUUUCCGCAAGGACUGCUACACAGGUGCUGCAUGGCUGUCGU
This 263-nucleotide ribosomal RNA is filed under the name uncultured bacterium. RNAcentral describes it as "partial 16S ribosomal RNA". It matches the Rfam family "Bacterial small subunit ribosomal RNA", at positions 793 to 1055 of the family's 1533-position model. The record is from RNAcentral.